CAGUCGCCGCGGUAAUACGAAGGGGGCUAGCGUUACUCGGAAUUACUGGGCGUAAAGCGUGCGUAGGUGGUGGUUUAAGUCCGUUGUGAAAUCCCCGGGCUCAACCUGGGAAUGGCAGUGGAUACUGGCUCGCUAGAGUGUGUCAGAGGAUGGUGGAAUUCCCGGUGUAGCGGUGAAAUGCGUAGAGAUCGGGAGGAACAUCAGUGGCGAAGGCGGCCAUCUGGGACAACACUGACGCUGAGGCACGAAAGCGUGUGGAGCAAACAGGAUUAGAUACCCCGGUAGUCCCUGUCUCUUAUAC
RNAcentral lists this ribosomal RNA (301 nucleotides) under uncultured bacterium. RNAcentral's name for it is "partial 16S ribosomal RNA". It matches the Rfam family "Bacterial small subunit ribosomal RNA", at positions 509 to 807 of the family's 1533-position model. The record is from RNAcentral.